AUUGAACGCUGGCGGCAUGCUUUACACAUGCCAGUCGAACGGCAGCGCGGGGCAACCUGGCGGCGAGUGGCGAACGGGUGAGUAAUACAUCGGAACGUACCCAGAAGUGGGGGAUAACGUAGCGAAAGUUACGCUAAUACCGCAUACGUUCUACGGAAGAAAGUGGGGGACCUUCGGGCCUCAUGCUUUUGGAGCGGCCGAUGUCUGAUUAGCUAGUUGGUGAGGUAAAGGCUCACCAAGGCGACGAUCAGUAGCUGGUCUGAGAGGAUGACCAGCCACACUGGGACUGAGACACGGCCCAGACUCCUACGGGAGGCAGCAGUGGGGAAUUUUGGACAAUGGGCGCAAGCCUGAUCCAGCAAUGCCGCGUGAGUGAAGAAGGCCUUCGGGUUGUAAAGCUCUUUUGUCAGGGAAGAAACGGCUGAGGAUAAUACCUUCGGCUAAUGACGGUACCUGAAGAAUAAGCACCGGCUAACUACGUG
RNAcentral lists this ribosomal RNA (482 nucleotides) under uncultured bacterium. RNAcentral describes it as "partial 16S ribosomal RNA". It matches the Rfam family "Bacterial small subunit ribosomal RNA", at positions 30 to 507 of the family's 1533-position model. The record is from RNAcentral.